This 73-nucleotide transfer RNA is filed under the name Escherichia phage vB_EcoM_KWBSE43-6. It matches the Rfam family "tRNA". Rfam says of the family: Transfer RNA (tRNA) molecules are approximately 80 nucleotides in length. Their secondary structure includes four short double-helical elements and three loops (D, anti-codon, and T loops). RNAcentral also lists the same sequence under 6 other names. Lineage: Duplodnaviria; Heunggongvirae; Uroviricota; Caudoviricetes; Pantevenvirales; Ackermannviridae. The record is from Rfam by way of RNAcentral.
GAUGGUGUAGUUCAGUCGGUAGAACGGUGGACUGUUAAUCCAUAUGUCGCAGGUUCAAGUCCUGCCACCAUCG